AAACUGCAUCUGAUUCGGAAGCUUGAGAAAUCACUUUCUCCUGAGAAAACUAACAGCACAUCCCAUGAGGUAUACGAGCAAUGUGUAAUUGAUAGCCAGAUAUGGCUAACAAAAAAUUCUAACCGAAAUCAGAAGUUCUAAAUCACUGGCGACUAUCCUACCCUCUGAGGUAUAUUGAAAACGACAAUACAGCGACUAUCUCAGAAUUCUUUGUUAAAUGGCCAAUAAUUCACACUGACAUUGCCCCAGAAUUGAUCAAUUAUGACUUUGGACAAAUCCAUGCAUGCAAUAAGGAUCUAGAUGUUGCAGCAAAAUUUGAUGGAAUAUUCCAAUCUAUUUAUGAAAAGAAAAAGAAGUAUUUAAGUGUAGCUGACUGCACAAUUAAGAGUCUACUGGAUACGGAAAUAACCAUUGAUUCAAAAAUUGCUGUUCAGUUAUUUCUGUUUCCAUCACUUGUGCCUCCUCGCGGACCAUUGAGUUAGAAAACUAAUGGAGGAAAUAUAAUGGUAGAGGGGGUAAGAAUUUUUGUAGACGGAAGUUGCCAC
This is a long non-coding RNA of Photinus pyralis (common eastern firefly), 545 nucleotides long. RefSeq lists it as uncharacterized. The transcript is spliced from 4 exons. NCBI's taxonomy places the organism in Eukaryota, Metazoa, Arthropoda, Insecta, Coleoptera, Lampyridae. The record is from RefSeq and is a predicted model, not a curated record.